Molecule: ribosomal RNA, 253 nt
Filed under: uncultured bacterium
Lineage: Bacteria
Description: partial 16S ribosomal RNA
Rfam family: Bacterial small subunit ribosomal RNA
Source: RNAcentral
UACGUAGGCAGCAAGCGUUGUUCGGAAUUACUGGGCGUAAAGAGUGUGUAGGCGGUGCUCUAAGUCUGUCGUGAAAUCUCCCGGCUUAACUGGGAGGGUGCGGCGGAAACUGGUGUGCUUGAGGAUGGGAGAGGUAAGCGGAAUUCCUGGUGUAGCGGUGAAAUGCGUAGAUAUCAGGAGGAACACCUGUGGUGUAGACAGCUUACUGGACCAUUUCUGACGCUGAGACACGAAAGCGUGGGUAGCAAACAGG